Molecule: ribosomal RNA, 255 nt
Filed under: uncultured bacterium
Lineage: Bacteria
Description: partial 16S ribosomal RNA
Rfam family: Bacterial small subunit ribosomal RNA
Source: RNAcentral
UACGUAGGGUGCAAGCGUUUAAUCGGAAUUACUGGGCGUAAAGCGUGCGCAGGCGGUUUUGUAAGUCUGUCGUGAAAGCCCCGGGCUCAACCUGGGAAUUGCGAUGGAGACUGCAAGGCUUGAAUCUGGCAGAGGGGGGUAGAAUUCCACGUGUAGCAGGUGAAAUGCGUAGAGAUGUGGAGGAACACCGAUGGCGAAGGCAGCCCCCUGGGUCAAGAUUGACGCUCAUGCACGAAAGCGUGGGGAGCAAACAGG